GUUGAUAAGGUUAAGUGAAUAAGGGCGCACGGUGGAUGCCUUGGCACUAGGAGCCGAUGAAGGACGGGACUAACACCGAUAUGCUUUGGG
This 90-nucleotide ribosomal RNA is filed under the name Enterococcus faecium. Its description in RNAcentral is "partial 23S ribosomal RNA". It matches the Rfam family "Bacterial large subunit ribosomal RNA", at positions 1 to 82 of the family's 2925-position model. The record is from RNAcentral. Lineage: Bacteria; Bacillati; Bacillota; Bacilli; Lactobacillales; Enterococcaceae.